RNAcentral lists this ribosomal RNA (488 nucleotides) under uncultured bacterium. RNAcentral describes it as "partial 16S ribosomal RNA". It matches the Rfam family "Bacterial small subunit ribosomal RNA", at positions 28 to 507 of the family's 1533-position model. The record is from RNAcentral.
GAUGAACGCUGGCGGCGUGCCUAACACAUGCAAGUCGAACGGAAAGACCCUGCGUUUGUGCUGUUCUCGAUUGCCGAAGGCGUGAGUGUCACGUGUGUAUCCUGCCCUUGUCUUUCGGAGAUCAUCACGAAACUGGGGCUAAUAUCGGAUAGGAUCUCCUGCUCCGUGGUGGGCAUUGGAAAGUUUCGGCUUUUGUGGAUGGACUCGCGGCUUACUAGCUUGCUGGUGGGGUAGUGGCUUACCCAGGCUAUGAAGGGUACCCGGCCUGAGAGGGUGAUCGGCCACACUGGAACUGAGACAGGGUCAAGAGGCCUACGGGAGGCAGCAGUAGGGAAUGGUAGGCAACAGGGGGAAGCAUUACACAGCAAGCCCGAGUGUGUGACGAAGGCGUUCGGUUCGUAAAGCCCUCUUAUGGGGUAAGAACAGCUGUCGACUGAGACGAAGCGUGCGUGACGGUACCGAAUCAAGAAGCACCGGCUAACUACGUG